Molecule: long non-coding RNA, 1095 nt
Organism: Cyprinus carpio (common carp)
Lineage: Eukaryota; Metazoa; Chordata; Actinopteri; Cypriniformes; Cyprinidae
Source: Ensembl
AAUUGGGCUUAUUCUGCCUUCUAUUGAUUUGGUUACAUGUUAGUGGUACUUGCUUCACAUAUCAAUGAUAUGUCAAAUUGUGCAGAUAUUACAUUUCUGAAAAAUCAGAUCAGUGUUAUUUAAUUUUAGAGUUUUUAGAUUUUAUUUGUGUAUUUGUAUAUAUAUAUAGUUUCAGUUCAUGUUUAUUUUAUUUCAAGUGCUUUUUAUUUAUUUAUUUAUUUAUUUUUUGCUGUUAGUAGUCCCUUACCAGGCUUGCCACACAUGUGAGAGCUGAGUUAUUAUGCAGAACCCUUAAAAUAUAAUUAGCAUCAAUAAUGAGAGUCAGUUGAAUAAGGCUUUAUUUUAUCAAAACCAGAAGUUAUACUGACCCACCAAUUCGAAACAUUUUCCUAAACAUUUUUGACAUCAAUACUUUUGUUAAAGUGAUUUGUGCCUGUAUUCCUCUUGCUCUGACACCCGUGUAGAACUGAAAAUAAUUAUUAUGUCAUGGCUGGGCCACAUAUGAGAGCAAUGUUCAAUAUCAAUACCAGCUGUCUGAACACAUCUUAUAAACUGUGACAUAUAAUACAAAUACAUAAUUUUACAAUAGAAAGAAUUUUUAUACACAAAGGAAUUUUUUUAAUGGAGCAACAUCUGAAAGUAGACACUAGCCAGAUCUUAAACUUUAGUUAUUAAUUUUGAUCAUUGAUCAAAGAUGUCUCUAUACAUGGCCACCCACAAAGAAAUGAUUACAGUGUGACUCCUGCCAUUAUAUCCCAGCAUCAUAUUGAACAUUUAGUCAUUCAUUCAUAUGUCCAUUUGGAAACCGUCCAUAAGUGACAGACCAAAUUUAAGACCUCAUCUUUGGCUUCAUUGUUGAACACAGAUUUUCCGAUUAUGACAGUCCUUAUUUUGUCAGGGCUGAUUAUGAGUGCUUCCAGAUUGAACUCUCCAAGAUCUAUGGACUUCUAUAGUGGAAAGAGGACAUCAAAAGCAUCAUGCUAAAGGCUGGUCUGAAGAAUGUGCAAAUCACGUUCCUGUUUGUGGAUACGCAGAUUAAGAAUGAGUCUUUCCUGGGGGAUGUGAAUAACAUCCUGAACUCAGGCGAUGUGCCAA